This 299-nucleotide ribosomal RNA is filed under the name Mosia nigrescens (Dark sheath-tailed bat). RNAcentral describes it as "partial 12S ribosomal RNA". The record is from RNAcentral. Lineage: Eukaryota; Metazoa; Chordata; Mammalia; Chiroptera; Emballonuridae.
AAACACUCGCCCAGCACUACUAGCCAAGCUUAAAACUCAAAGGACUUGGCGGUGCUUUAUAUCNAUCUAGAGGAGCCUGUUCUGUAAUCGAUAAACCCCGAUAAACCUCACCAACCUUGCCAACUCAGCCUAUAUACCGCCAUCUUCACAAACCCUAAAAAGGAAAUAAGUAAGCACAAACACAACAUGUAAAAACGUUAGGUCAAGGUGUAGCCUAUGGGUUGGAAAGAAAUGGGCUACAUUCCCUAUAAAAGGUCACCCACUACAUAAACGAACAUUAUUGUGAAACCAAUAAUUAA